UGUGUAGGCGGCCGCGCAAGUCGGAUGUGAAAGCCCCGGGCUCAACCCGGGAAGUGCACCCGAAACUGUGUGGCUUGAGUACCGGAGAGGUUGGUGGAAUUCUCGGUGUAGAGGUGAAAUUCGUAGAUAUCGAGAGGAACACCGGUGGCGAAGGCGGCCAACUGGACGAGUACUGACGCUGAGACACGAAAGCGUGGGGAGCAAACAGGAUUAGAUACCCUGGUAGUCCACGCCGUAAACGAUGGGUGCUAGGUGUCACGGGUUUUUGACUCCUGUGGUGCCGUAGCCAACGCAUUAAGCACCCCGCCUGGGAGUACGGCCGCAAGGCUAAA
RNAcentral lists this ribosomal RNA (332 nucleotides) under uncultured bacterium. Its description in RNAcentral is "bacterial SSU rRNA". It matches the Rfam family "Bacterial small subunit ribosomal RNA", at positions 568 to 898 of the family's 1533-position model. The record is from RNAcentral.